UACGGGGGGAGCAAGCGUUGUUCGGAUUUACUGGGCGUAAAGGGCGCGUAGGCGGCCACCGCAAGUCGACUGUGAAAUCUCCGGGCUUAACUCGGAAAGGUCAGCCGAUACUGCGGGGCUAGAGUGCAGAAGGGGCAACUGGAAUUCCUGGUGUACCGGUGAAAUGGGUAGAUAUCAGGAGGAACACCCGUGGCGAAGGCGGCUCACUGGGCAUCACCUGACGCUGAGGCGCGAAAGUGUGGGUAGCAAACAGG
Molecule: ribosomal RNA, 254 nt
Filed under: uncultured bacterium
Lineage: Bacteria
Description: partial 16S ribosomal RNA
Rfam family: Bacterial small subunit ribosomal RNA
Source: RNAcentral